CGCGUAGGCGGCAAGGCAAGUCAGAUGUGAAAUCCCCGGGCUCAACCUGGGAAUUGCAUCUGAAGCUGCAGUGCUUGAGUCCUGGAGGGGAUAGUGGAAUUCCCAGUGUAGCGGUGAAAUGCGUAGAUAUUGGGAGGAACACCUGCGGCGAAGGCGGCUAUCUGGACAGUGACUGACGCUGAUGCGCGAAAGCCAGGGGAGCGAACGG
RNAcentral lists this ribosomal RNA (208 nucleotides) under uncultured bacterium. RNAcentral's name for it is "partial 16S ribosomal RNA". It matches the Rfam family "Bacterial small subunit ribosomal RNA", at positions 568 to 775 of the family's 1533-position model. The record is from RNAcentral.